Molecule: long non-coding RNA, 2690 nt
Organism: Meriones unguiculatus (Mongolian gerbil)
Lineage: Eukaryota; Metazoa; Chordata; Mammalia; Rodentia; Muridae
Exons: 4
Source: RefSeq, a predicted model, not a curated record
UUUGUGUAUGUAUUCAUUCCCUUAAACUUUUUAUUGCAUAUUCUUUUGUGGUUUUACCUCUUAAUUUAGUUAAACAGUUGUUGACCUGUCAUCGUGGUGCUUGCUCAGUGGGUGAACCUCUUGGCUGGCCCUCUCCCCUUCGUCCCUGCCUCCUUCAGGGUUCACGUAUGUUGGGUACAUACAUGUAAGCACGCUGCUUAAUUUUCUGAGUGGGGGUUCAUCUCACCUCACAUGGGGACUCCCAGUUCUGCUCAUUUCCUUGCCUCCCCCCUCCCCCAUCCUCCAGGCCUCUGCACCAGCCUUUCUCCUCCCCCAUCCUCCAGGCCUCUGCACCAGCACCCCCAGCUUCAGGCACCUGCCCUGACUGGUGGUGUAAGCUGUCAGAGAAAGUAAACAAACCCUUUCUUCUCCCAGUUUGCUCUUCCCAGGGUUCUGUCACACUAACAGAAACCUGCUGAGACACUCGUGAGCGGACAUCAUUGUGUGUCUCACACUUUCUGUUUUAAUUUUUGUGUAUGUUUAUGUCAGUAUAAUGUGCUUCCUUUUCAUUAUGUGGAGGUUGUACAUUUAUAAUCUAUCUUCUUCAAACUUUUCCAUGUGAUGUAUGUGUGUGUACCCUUGUGUGUACAUGUGGUGUGUAUAUAUGUGUAUAUGUGGUGUGUGUGCGUGGUGUGUGCACACGUGGUGUGUGUGUGUACCUGAGCAUGUGGUGUGUGUGUGUGUGUGUGUGUAGCUUGUAUGUGUGAACCUGUGUGCACGCCACAUUCAGUCUGUUUCUUAAGCUAAGUUAGUGUGCAAAGGAGUCCAGCUGAAGCACAGGCAGGAUGUUAUCACCUCACACCUGUGAAAGUGACCCUUUAAAAAGGUCAGCAGAGGCUGGGGCGAUGCUCGCCGGCUGCUCACAAGGCUCUCACACACGCACAACCCGGCUGCAGCUCCCUCUCCACGGCCUGACGCCCCCUUCCAGCCUCCUCGGGAACAGCACCCACAUCCAGAAACCACACAUAAACAAGUCUUCAAAAAAGAAAAUGUGGCCUAGAUACAGAUGGCGCAAAAUGAAGCUGUCCUGUUGAACUGUGAGGAAAAAUGACGCGAGGCCCGCUGGGCUGCGUGGGACUGUCCGUGGGUGAGAGCAGAGCUGAGCUCUAGCCCUCCACUGCCCGGUGGAAGAGGGGAGCUGACUUCUGUUUGUCCUCUGACCUGUUUGUCAUUGCUGUGACAAUCACGAACACACCAACAAUAAAUAAAUUACAUUCUUUUAAAACUUAAAAAAGAGAAUCAAGUUAUGUCGUUUUCAGGAAAAUGGAUAGAAAUGGAGGUCAUUGUGUUAAGACAAAGACAUAGACAGACAAACCCACCCUUUUCCUAAUGGUAGGCAUUUGGAUCGAGUUAUAAGAAGGGCCGAUCUGAUGGGGGCGGACAGGCUUUAGCUGGGGAAAGCAGGAACCCAGAGAGAAGGGAAAUGGGGAACAGGAGAGUAUUGUGGCGGUGAACAUGAGCGAAGUUCAGUGACCUCGUGUAGGAACACGCUGUGAUGAAAUCCUGUCUUUUCAGCCGCAGCCGAAUCAAGGGAUGGCCUACCGUUAUUCAGCACUGAAGGAUGCAUACCGCAUGUUGUUACUCAGACAUGGAAACAAAAAAGGCUGAAUUCUCAAGAGCCUUGUGGAACGUUGGGGACUCGGCUCAGAGGUUUCGGUUGGGUAUCUGUGAGUCAAUUGAUGGCCCUGACCCAAAAUAGCAACGUAUAGGCAAUAUGAUAAUAAUGAUAGUAAUAUCUUGACUGUUGAUACUAUUUCCACAGAAAGAGAAAGGUGCGUGCAGGCCACUUGUUGAAUGGUGUGUGGUGUGUCCCCCACCCAGACCCCGAGUUUCAAAAGCACAGGUGUGCUUUUGAGACCAAGUCAAACGAUUGAGCCUGAAGGAGAGGUGAUGAUUCACACAGAGGGGCUCACGAUCACUUACCCUUUUCCCCUUUCUCUUUCUCCUUCCCUCCAUCCUUUGUCUGAUUUGUUUGUUUGCUUUGUCUUUUGAGACAAGGUCACACUAUAAAGUCAAGACUAGCCUCAAAUCUGCCAAUCUCCUGCCUCAGCUUCCUGGGAAUGCUGGCUUGACAGAUCAAGUUGCUACACAGCCGACGUCAGCGAGGGAAACUUUCAAGGCUGUACCUGUUGACAUCAUCCAUGCCGACUGUGGAGAUCCCCCAGAAGCUCUGCCUUUAUUAAUAGCCCAGGCGCAAACUAUGAAAAGUGAAACAAGCCAUCCAGCAGCUGUGGUCAAGGGUAUACCCACUGAACGCCGAAGAAAGUCUCGUCAGCGUUGAGGGAUGGCCGCAGAGGCAGGCUGAGGGGAUGACCUUGGAGUCCCGACACUUCCACCUCUGCUGCCCGAGUUCUGGGAUGACAAGUGUGGACCAGCAGCCUGUCUCCCGUGGUGCUGGGUGUUGGGAUCAACAAGCAGGCAUUUUUACUGGCAGACCCGGCAGGUAUCAGGCAUUUGGAAAGACACCCAGACCACCUGCUGACCACCUGGAACCACCCGCACAUGCUCUGGACCCCCCUAUAAGAGAACUGGGGCCCUCCCCUCUUCUUCUCGCUCCUUCUUCUCUCUCUUCCUCUCUCUCGCUUCUUCUUCUCUCUCUCUCCUUCUCUAUCUCUAUCUACCUCCCUCUCUGUAACCCCCCUCUACCUAAU